ACGAACGCUGGCGGCGUGCUUAACACAUGCAAGUCGAACGGAAAGGCCCUGCUUGCAGGGUACUCGAGUGGCGAACGGGUGAGUAACACGUGGGUGAUCUGCCCUGCACUUCGGGAUAAGCCUGGGAAACUGGGUCUAAUACCGGAUAUGACCUUCCAUGUAGUGUGGGGGGUGGAAAGAUUUAUCGGUGUGGGAUGAGCCCGCGGCCUAUCAGCUUGUUGGUGGGGUAAUGGCCUACCAAGGCGUCGACGGGUAGCCGGCCUGAGAGGGUGGACGGCCACAUUGGGACUGAGAUACGGCCCAGACUCCUACGGGAGGCAGCAGUGGGGAAUAUUGCACAAUGGGCGGAAGCCUUAUGCAGCGACGCCGCGUGGGGGAUGACGGCCUUCGGGUUGUAAACCUCUUUCGACAGGGACGAAGCUUCGGUGACGGUACCUGUAUAAGAGGCACCGGCUAACUACGUG
This 464-nucleotide ribosomal RNA is filed under the name uncultured bacterium. RNAcentral's name for it is "partial 16S ribosomal RNA". It matches the Rfam family "Bacterial small subunit ribosomal RNA", at positions 29 to 507 of the family's 1533-position model. The record is from RNAcentral.